Molecule: transfer RNA, 77 nt
Filed under: Pseudomonas amygdali pv. lachrymans str. M301315
Lineage: Bacteria; Pseudomonadati; Pseudomonadota; Gammaproteobacteria; Pseudomonadales; Pseudomonadaceae
Description: tRNA-Glu
Rfam family: tRNA
About the family: Transfer RNA (tRNA) molecules are approximately 80 nucleotides in length.
Source: RNAcentral
GCGCAUAUCGUCUAGUGAUCUAGGAUGCCUCGUUCUCAGCGAGGAAAACACGGGUUUGAAUCCCGUUGUGCGCUCCA